RNAcentral lists this transfer RNA (41 nucleotides) under Crotalus triseriatus triseriatus. RNAcentral's name for it is "partial tRNA-Ser". Lineage: Eukaryota; Metazoa; Chordata; Lepidosauria; Squamata; Viperidae. The record is from RNAcentral.
CGAGAGGUUCAGAAGAACUGNUAACUCUUCAAUCUGGAAAA